RNAcentral lists this ribosomal RNA (429 nucleotides) under Gemmatimonadota bacterium. RNAcentral describes it as "Gemmatimonadetes bacterium partial 16S ribosomal RNA". It matches the Rfam family "Bacterial small subunit ribosomal RNA", at positions 355 to 776 of the family's 1533-position model. Lineage: Bacteria; Pseudomonadati; Gemmatimonadota. The record is from RNAcentral.
UAGGGAAUCUUCGGCAAUGGACGAAAGUCUGACCGAGCAACGCCGCGUGAGUGAAGAAGGUUUUCGGAUCGUAAAACUCUGUUGUUAGAGAAGAACAAGGACGUUAGUAACUGAACGUCCCCUGACGGUAUCUAACCAGAAAGCCACGGCUAACUACGUGCCAGCAGCCGCGGUAAUACGUAGGUGGCAAGCGUUGUCCGGAUUUAUUGGGCGUAAAGCGAGCGCAGGCGGUUUCUUAAGUCUGAUGUGAAAGCCCCCGGCUCAACCGGGGAGGGUCAUUGGAAACUGGGGGACUUGGGUGCAGGAGAGGAGAGUGGAAUUCCAUGUGGAGCGGUGAAAUGCGUAGGUAUAUGGAGGAACACCAGUGGCGAAGGCGGCUCUCUGGUCUGUAACUGACGCUGAGGCUCGAAAGCGUGGGGAGCAAACAGG